Non-coding RNA from Caretta caretta (loggerhead turtle), 862 nucleotides. The record is from the annotation of a RefSeq genome assembly. NCBI's taxonomy places the organism in Eukaryota, Metazoa, Chordata, Testudines, Cheloniidae.
GAGAGUAAAUGUAUCCGGUAAAGACGAGCUUCUACAUGAAUGCCAGGUUCCCGAUCCACCCCUAGGGGUUGAUUUGUCUGUCCUUAAAGAAGGGAACAGAUGCAAACGGAGUGACAACAUUUCCUGUCACACCCCGCCCUGUCCCCGACCCUGCAGGAGACAAUGGCUGCAGCCCCACGUGUCUGCAGUGAACACCCACAACUCUCCCUGGGAAAUUCACUCCCCACUUAGCAGAAGAAGAUGCUCCUCUGGCUGCACGUUGCUUUCCUGGCAGCACUUCCCCAAGGGGCCAAUUCGCAGGUUCAGCUGGUGGAGUCUGGGGGAGGCGUGAAAAUGGCAGGAGAGUCUAUCAGCAUCGCCUGUAAAGCCUCCGGGUUCACUUUUGGUGACUACUGGAUGCACUGGUACCGACAGUCUCCCGGGAAGGGACCCGAGUGGGUGUCCGGCAUUAGCUAUUGGGCCGGAACCGACAAGAGAUACGCUGAGUCGGUGAAAGGGCGAUUCACCAUCUCCAGAGACAACCCCAACAACCUGCUCCAUUUGCAAAUGACCGGCCUGAGACCCGAGGACGCGGCGGUGUAUCGCUGUCAGAGAGACACAGUGACGGGCAGGGAAUCUAACCACGCACAAAAACAUCCCUUUGCAGUCACAGCCCGCCGCGGGGCACAGCCCAGGGGAAGAGUCAGACACACAGAGAACUGAACCAAGGAGAAAAUGGCCCCAGCGUCGCGAUCAGCGCGUGAAGGACACGGCUUUUGUGGGGCUGCAGAGACAGGUCAGGGCUGGGGGAGGAAACACUGGAGGGUAGCAGGCCCCGUUCUCUUUGCUGCACACCUGCCCAUCUGGGCGAGCAGCGAGCUUC